RNAcentral lists this non-coding RNA (167 nucleotides) under Spinacia oleracea (spinach). Lineage: Eukaryota; Viridiplantae; Streptophyta; Magnoliopsida; Caryophyllales; Amaranthaceae. The record is from Rfam by way of RNAcentral.
UAAUUUACUUACGGAGUACUUCGUAUAAAAAUUACAAUAAUAAUUUAUGUUGGGGGCGGUUUACGGUGGUCAUGGAAGUCAAAAUCCGCUAAGGAAUGUGUAACAAUACCCCGCCGAUUCAACUAGCCCCGCAAAUGGGUGACACUGAAGCGCGUGACUUAUACUUA